Molecule: ribosomal RNA, 498 nt
Filed under: uncultured bacterium
Lineage: Bacteria
Description: partial 16S ribosomal RNA
Rfam family: Bacterial small subunit ribosomal RNA
Source: RNAcentral
GGAUGAACGCUGGCGGCGUGCCUACUACAUGCAAGUCGAGCGAACAGACGAGGAGCUUGCUCCUCUGACGUUAGCGGCGGACGGGUGAGUAACACGUGGAUAACCUACCUAUAAGACUGGGAUAACUUCGGGAAACCGGAGCUAAUACCGGAUAAUAUAUUGAACCGCAUGGUUCAAUAGUGAAAGACGGUUUUGCUGUCACUUAUAGAUGGAUCCGCGCCGCAUUAGCUAGUUGGUAAGGUAACGGCUUACCAAGGCGACGAUGCGUAGCCGACCUGAGAGGGUGAUCGGCCACACUGGAACUGAGACACGGUCCAGACUCCUACGGGAGGCAGCAGUAGGGAAUCUUCCGCAAUGGGCGAAAGCCUGACGGAGCAACGCCGCGUGAGUGAUGAAGGUUUUCGGAUCGUAAAACUCUGUUAUUAGGGAAGAACAAAUGUGUAAGUAACUAUGCACGUCUUGACGGUACCUAAUCAGAAAGCCACGGCUAACUACGUG